GACGAACGCUGGCGGCGUGCUUAACACAUGCAAGUCGAACGGAAAGGCCCUGCUUUUGUGGGGUGCUCGAGUGGCGAACGGGUGAGUAACACGUGAGUAACCUGCCCUUGACUUUGGGAUAACUUCAGGAAACUGGGGCUAAUACCGGAUAGGAGCUCCUGCUGCAUGGUGGUGGUUGGAAAGUUUCGGCGGUUGGGGCUGGACUCGCGGCUUAUCAGCUUGUUGGUGGGGUAGUGGCUUACCAAGGCUUUGACGGGUAGCCGGCCUGAGAGGGUGACCGGCCACGUUGGGACUGAGAUACGGCGCAGACUCCUACGGGAGGCAGCAGGGGGGAAUAUUGCACAAUGGGCGGAAGCCUGAUGCAGCAACGCCGCGUGCGGGAUGACGGCCUUCGGGUUGUAAACCGCUUUCGCCUGUGACGAAGCGUGAGUGACGGUAAUGGGUAAAGAAGCACCGGCUAACUACGUG
Molecule: ribosomal RNA, 468 nt
Filed under: uncultured bacterium
Lineage: Bacteria
Description: partial 16S ribosomal RNA
Rfam family: Bacterial small subunit ribosomal RNA
Source: RNAcentral